This is a long non-coding RNA of Felis catus (domestic cat), 796 nucleotides long. RefSeq lists it as uncharacterized. Lineage: Eukaryota; Metazoa; Chordata; Mammalia; Carnivora; Felidae. The transcript has 2 exons. The record is from RefSeq and is a predicted model, not a curated record.
UAUUGUUUUGGCACUGAGGAGGAAAACGUGGAGAAGAGGCUCCCGCUAAAGGUAGAGAAAACAGGGGGCAGAAAAUUAACGAAAGGGGUAAGAUCUAGAAAGAGAUGCAGAAACCAGCCUUGUGCAGGAGGCCUGUCUUCCUUCAAGUCAGGAGGAACGGAGCUAUAAUUUGCGCUACAUUAAGGGACCCUCCUUUCCAUAAUGGAUGUGCGGUUUGAACGCAGGCGCAGUCGGGCCUCGAGGGCAAGGCCCUGCCCGCCAGACGUGGAUUUCGGCCAGGUGGGGCGUCCGCAGCCAAUCGCAGGGCCCCAGAACCCGAGAGCUGUGCUGCCGAGGCAGGUGGAGGCCUCCACUCCUGCCCAAGGUCUUGGGAAGAUGCUGCACGAAAGCCCAGAGCACUUCUGUGAGUCUUCCAUCAAAUGCACCGGCUGUAUUUCCCGAGAGGAGCACAAAAGAAAACCUGUGGGCUGACAGUCUAGACAGAAAGACCCGGCGCUUUUGCAGGAGAAGCCUUAGGGGACAUGGUUGAGAGCACAGAUUCUGGAGCCGGACUGUCCCAGUUUGAAUACUGACUUUGCCCCUUCUGAGCUGUGUGACUUUCUGCAAGUUACCCAGCCUUUCUGUGCCUUUGUUUCCUCCUGCCCCCAAAUGGUACUAAUAGUCCCUACCAGUUACAUGCUAAAGCCAGAACAAGCUCUUGAAAGCCAACUGUUUAAUUAUCAGGAAUUGUGUGAGCUGGUUGUUCAAAACAGCCAUUACCAAAAAUUAAACUCUAUAAACUUGUACUUACAAUUUA